GACGAACGCUGGCGGCGUGCUUAACACAUGCAAGUCGAACGAAGAGCGACGGAAGCUUGCUUCUAUCAAUCUUAGUGGCGAACGGGUGAGUAACGCGUAAUCAACCUGCCCUUCAGAGGGGGACAACAGUUGGAAACGACUGCUAAUACCGCAUACGAUCUAAUCUCGGAAUCGAGGAGGGAUUAAAGGUUGCCGCUACAUGUAAGCUAGCACUGAGAGAGGUGAUUGGGCCUGGUUAGGUCGUUGGAGGGGUAACGUCCCUCCAAGGCGAUGAUCAGUAGCCGGUCGGAGAGGAUGGACGGCCAAAUUGGGACUGAGACCCGGCCCAGAACGCUACGGGAGGCAGCCGGGGGGAAUCUUUCGACAAGGAGGAAAGUCUGGCGGAGGAACGCCGCGGGAGUGAUGACGGCCUUCGGGUUGGAAAGGUCGGUUAAUCGGGACGAAAGGCCUUCUUGCGAAUAGUGAGAAGGAUUGACGGUACCGGAAUAGAAAGCCACGGCUAACUACGUG
Molecule: ribosomal RNA, 510 nt
Filed under: uncultured bacterium
Lineage: Bacteria
Description: partial 16S ribosomal RNA
Rfam family: Bacterial small subunit ribosomal RNA
Source: RNAcentral